This 427-nucleotide ribosomal RNA is filed under the name uncultured bacterium. RNAcentral describes it as "partial 16S ribosomal RNA". It matches the Rfam family "Bacterial small subunit ribosomal RNA", at positions 355 to 774 of the family's 1533-position model. The record is from RNAcentral.
UGGGGAAUAUUGCACAAUGGGCGCAAGCCUGAUGCAGCCAUGCCGCGUGUAUGAAGAAGGCCUUCGGGUUGUAAAGUACUUUCAGCGGGGAGGAAGGUGUUGUGGUUAAUAACCACAGCAAUUGACGUUACCCGCAGAAGAAGCACCGGCUAACUCCGUGCCAGCAGCCGCGGUAAUAAGGAGGGUGCAAGCGUUAAUCGGAAUUACUGGGCGUAAAGCGCACGCAGGCGGUCUGUCAAGUCGGAUGUGAAAUCCCCGGGCUCAACCUGGGAACUGCAUCCGAAACUGGCAGGCUUGAGUCUUGUAGAGGGGGGUAGAAUUCCAGGUGUAGCGGUGAAAUGCGUAGAGAUCUGGAGGAAUACCGGUGGCGAAGGCGGCCCCCUGGACAAAGACUGACGCUCAGGUGCGAAAGCGUGGGGAGCAAACA